UUAAGACGCAAUGGCCAGAAGACAUGAACGUCUCACUAGAAGGAUGUGGACGUGGGCUCUGGGACUGUUGAUGAUGACUGUGGUCUUUUGGGGUCAUCAGGGGAAUGGACAAGGCCAAGACGGAAUGAAGUUGAUAAUAGUGAGACCUUGUUGGUACAAGACUAUGUAACAUAACCUGCGCUUCUCAACAAAGAAUUGCUUUUCUGACUUCUGCACUCAAUAGCAAGACAAAUCUCUCCUCUGCCUUCUCCUUAUCAGACUACUCAACAUGAAGGCAAUAAGAAUGAAGACCUUUAUGCAUAAUAAUUGACUUCCACUUAAUAAAUAG
This is a long non-coding RNA of Gorilla gorilla gorilla (western lowland gorilla), 328 nucleotides long. RefSeq lists it as uncharacterized. The transcript has 3 exons. NCBI's taxonomy places the organism in Eukaryota, Metazoa, Chordata, Mammalia, Primates, Hominidae. The record is from RefSeq and is a predicted model, not a curated record.